ACAGCAGCAGCCACGGGAAUACAGAGGGUGCGAGCGUUAAUCGGAUUUACUGGGCGUAAAGCGUGCGUAGGCGGCUUCUUAAGUCGGAUGUGAAAUCCCUGAGCUUAACUUAGGAAUUGCAUUCGAUACUGGGAAGCUAGAGUAUGGGAGAGGAUGGUAGAAUUCCAGGUGUAGCGGUGAAAUGCGUAGAGAUCUGGAGGAAUACCGAUGGCGAAGGCAGCCAUCUGGCCUAAUACUGACGCUGAGGUACGAAAGCAUGGGGAGCAAACAGGAUUAGAUACCCCAGUAGUCCCUGUCUCUUAUAC
RNAcentral lists this ribosomal RNA (305 nucleotides) under uncultured bacterium. RNAcentral describes it as "partial 16S ribosomal RNA". It matches the Rfam family "Bacterial small subunit ribosomal RNA", at positions 506 to 807 of the family's 1533-position model. The record is from RNAcentral.